RNAcentral lists this non-coding RNA (28 nucleotides) under Bombyx mori (domestic silkworm). Lineage: Eukaryota; Metazoa; Arthropoda; Insecta; Lepidoptera; Bombycidae. The record is from RNAcentral.
UCAAGUCUGUACUGAAAACAAAGGCGCC